Molecule: ribosomal RNA, 228 nt
Filed under: uncultured bacterium
Lineage: Bacteria
Description: partial 16S ribosomal RNA
Rfam family: Bacterial small subunit ribosomal RNA
Source: RNAcentral
CGGGUGAGUAAUGUCUGGGAAACUGCCCGAUGGAGGGGGAUAACUACUGGAAACGGUAGCUAAUACCGCAUAACGUCGCAAGACCAAAGAGGGGGACCUUAGGGCCUCUUGCCAUCGGAUGUGCCCAGAUGGGAUUAGCUAGUAGGUGGGGUAAUGGCUCACCUAGGCGACGAUCCCUAGCUGGUCUGAGAGGAUGAUCAGCCACACUGGAACUGAGACACGGUCCAG